CUAUUUAAUAAAGGAAAUAAAGUAUCGAUUAGACGAGAAUACAAAAUAAAAGAAAAUAGAACAGAUAUAAUAGGAAAAUGAGACAAAAGAAACUCUUUAGAAAUUUAUUAUCAAGAAAUUCAACUUUCUAUCAUCUUCAUCGUGAAAUUACCACAAAGAAGACGAGGUGUAAACUUUCCCAGCAACACGUUUAAAUAUUUAUCUUAAAGAACGACUUAUGCUCUUAAUAAUGAGCGACGAAUUUUUAAGAGGAUACGAUAGAACGGAUAUGUUUUCAAGAAGAAGUAACCGGCACGAUUUCAAAGUUGUAAAAGCUGGAGGAUCCGUUUGAGCGGACCGCUUUGUGUCCCGCGAUAAAAAGUGUUUCAAGCAGGUAAAACAUUCCUACUGAAGCGAUUCUACCUGAUCCACCUGGCUUUCACACUACAUUUUCGACCACAGUUUCUUCUUAUGUAUAUUCUUGGAAGAACAAUAUAUUCGAAAGCUAAGAGCGUACAUAUUUGAUUGAUCGACGAAUUAUCUUCGAAAGAAAAUCCGAGGAGGAUCCUAAGUUGACUGGGAGUAUUGAAGAAAGUCGUCAAAAUUGCAGCUUAAGAACCUAAUAUCGACGGCUUUCGAGAAGAGGCUUGGAUAUUACAUAUUGCUAUAAAAUUUUAGAAACGGAACUUGACUAUCAUAGAUAUAUAUUGUAUCAUAGAUAAUUUUGAAGAACAGGAAAUGCAUGAUGAGACUGUUUCUUUGCUGGACAUCCGGUUCACCACGCGCACUGCGUGUGUCUUAUUUGACGUCACACACACACCUGCUUCCUCACAGCUGUUCUCCAAUCCGUGGUGGGAAGUAUCGCAGUGGGAGCUACGACCAUCCCUCGACAAAACGUAUUUAAUGAAUACAUAAAGGGGAAAUAUUGAAAUAUUUUUAAUAUAUAUAUAAACAU
Long non-coding RNA from Apis dorsata (giant honeybee), 934 nucleotides. RefSeq lists it as uncharacterized. The transcript is spliced from 6 exons. Lineage: Eukaryota; Metazoa; Arthropoda; Insecta; Hymenoptera; Apidae. The record is from RefSeq and is a predicted model, not a curated record.